UCCUAUUUCCUUUUCUCUUCAGCUCAAAACAACAGAGAGGAAUCGAGUGGAGAAAUCGAGAGAAACCAGAGAUCAAACCAAAAGUAUUAAGCUGAUUUGUCAUUUUGUAAACCUAGAAAGUGGUAUCAAAACCCUAUUUUACAGAAUCGAGAGAAACCAAAUUAAUUUUUUCUUUUAGCAUGAAACCCUCAUAAGAAAAUUCAAUUGAAGAAGUAAAAACCCUAGAAGAUCUCUAACCUAAAAAAAAAUGCUUGGGUUGCAGUUAAAUCGUGCAUUUGUGCCAGAACUGGUUAAUAUAUGUUUAUAUACAUAUGUGUAUAUAUCCACUGAACGUAGAAGUACUGUAUUGGGUAUGUGGGUACCCUUCUUGCAUCUGCCUCUUUCUUAUUUCACCGCUUGUUUAAGUGUCAAGUAUUAUUACCUAGUUUUUCACACGGAUGUACGAAUAAUGGAAGAGAAUAACGCAAGAUAAUAGCACAACUAUCUAUUCCAGUCAACUGUUAAUUUCUGACAAUUACAUUUAUUUCUUUCUGAGGUGGUGCAUGGAGACGAAGACAGGAAAUCAAAGGAUACUAUGAAAAAGAAAAAGGAAAGUCUUUACACAUUGAUUGCUAUCUUUGAGAGUAUCAAAUGCUCAGAAGAUGUACUUUAUGUAAGGCGUCAAUUAAUUCGCUUGCAAUAUGCGACUUUGGAAUGUUAACUAUCAAACGCCUGUCUCUAAAGCAGUAUGCACUGCGGUCCGAAAAAUUAGUUCCCUUACCUGCAGAACUGUACAAACCAUGUUAGAAGAAGCUGGAGGCCCAAUAUCUGAGAUACAGAAACUAGAAUGAAAGGAGAUGAACUCAUUCGUUCACGCUGGACUCAAAAUUCUUGAAAAUGAAGAUGGUGAAGUUUUAUGGGUAAAAUGCUACUCAACUGUGUCGAGUUUUCUUUAAGUUUUCAGGUUGUGCAAGUCCUUAGGGAAUUAUCAGUUGUGCAUGUGCUUAGAGCUGUAGGAUUCAUGGGCAAAUACUUGAGAUUCCAAAGUCUUCUUACAUCCAGAAAGAGUCGACUCUACAGCUUGUUUUGAGGCUACGUGGUGGGAUUAUUGAACCAUCUUAUUUGAUGGCUUUAGCAAGGAAGUAGAACCAGGACAAGAUGAUCUCACGCAAAUGAUAUGCACGUCUUCGUCCUCGUUGAUAUUGCUCAAGUUAACUCUUGUGUUCAUUUGCUUGUUUGAACUGCAGUUGAGGCCAAAGAAAAAGAUCAAGUAGAUGCAAUCCUGAAUUUUGGUCUAAUUUCAGUCCCUGUUCUUAUGGAAAUAUCGGAACGAGAUGCUCCAGUUAAUGUGGCAUUAAAUCAAGAAGACAAUUGGAUAGGCAUAAUAGGAAUUUAGUGAACAAGUUACUGACUAGACAAAUCUUCAAAAGAAGAAAAGGGAAGCUUUAUGUUAGGUGGUGUUGGACUAAAGAAAAGUGAAAAGAUCGAAACAAGAUGCUCUAGUAAAGGUGCCAUUAUAAGGAAAUCAAGAAGACAGUUGGAUAAGCAUAACACGAUUUGAGUGAACAAGUUAGGUAAUUUCUUAUUUCUUAAAUUCUUGUAGAAAAUGUAUCCGCUGCCUAUGCACGAUGAAGUCCAGUAACAUUGAUUGAACAAGAAACCCAAAAUAUGCUCAAUUUUGAUCCCAAAUUGUAGAGACAAACUUGUUAUCCAUAGUUUAUUUUGUUAAAAUUCAGUCAUCCUACAUCUGUAAUUGUAUUGAUUGAUUGUAAGGAUGGAUCCAUAUG
Papaver somniferum (opium poppy) is the source of this 1766-nucleotide long non-coding RNA. RefSeq lists it as uncharacterized. The record is from RefSeq and is a predicted model, not a curated record. The transcript has 9 exons. Lineage: Eukaryota; Viridiplantae; Streptophyta; Magnoliopsida; Ranunculales; Papaveraceae.